Molecule: long non-coding RNA, 3324 nt
Organism: Equus caballus (horse)
Lineage: Eukaryota; Metazoa; Chordata; Mammalia; Perissodactyla; Equidae
Source: Ensembl
AUUAUCGCUAAUCCCUGAUGUCAUCCCACUAAUUAAUUUUUAUCAAUUUAAUGGUUAUGAAAUUAUAUCUCAUGGAGAUUUUGAUUUUUCUUUCUCUGAUUAUUCAUGAUAUUGAGAAUAUUUUUAUAUUUUUAUCAACUGUUUACACUCCUUCCGUGAAUUGUCUGUUCAUAUCUUUUUCCCAUUUCUCUUUCAGCUUGCGUGUCUUUUUCUUCUUACUGAUUUUUAAAAUAUAGGUUGCAAAAUAUGUCCCUGUCUGUAUCACUUUUCACUUUAUUUAUGAUGUCUUUUCAUGAAAAUUGCUUUUCAUUUAAAGUGUUCAAAUUUAUCAAUCUUUUCUUUUAUGGUUUCUGCUUAUUGUAGCCUGUAAAGAAAUGCUUCUUCAAAAAAAUGCCAUAAAAGUAUUUUCUAAUUAUUCUCUAAUGUUUUCUUUUAAAAGAUUUACAGCUUCUCUUUUCAUGUUAUUUUUAAAAUUUAUUUUUGCAUAAAAUAUAAUAUGGGAAUCUGUUUUUAGCUUGUCCCUGUGCCAAGUAUCAGCUAAUAUUUUUUAAUUUUUUUUAUGGGGAGGAUUGGCCCUGAGUUAACAUCUGUUGCUAAUCUUCCUCUUUUUGCUUGAGGAAGAUUGUGGCUGAGCUAACAUCUGUGCCAAUCUUCCUCUAGUUCAUGUGGGAUGUUGCCACAACGUAGCUUGACAAGCAGUGCUAGGUCUGCACCUGGGAUCCGAACCUGCAAACCCCAGGCCACCGAAGUGGAGCAUGCAAACUUAACCGCUAUGCAACCAGGCUGGCCCAAGUAUCAAAUAAUUUAUCCUUCGCCCUAUUAUUUGCAAGUCUCCUUUCUCAUAGAAGGGCUAAAGCUCCUAUGAAAAGCUAAAGGCCUAAGCUUCUAAAUAUGCAUGGUUUUCUUUCUAGGUCUCUAUCCUUAUAGACUUAUACCAAUACCAUUCUGUCUUAUAUAACGUAAUUUUAAAUUCGAUAAGUAGUAUCGUAGGCAUCUUAAUCCCUGCAACCAGUGACUGCGUUACCUGACAUGGCAAAAGGAACUUGGCAGAUAUGAUUAAAUUAAGUCCGGUGACAUGGGGAAGAGUAUCCUGGAUUAGCCAGGUGGGUCCAAUGUAAUCCACAAAUCCUCAAAAGAGGAGAACCAUUCCCAGCUGAGAGCAGAGUGAGACGGAGACCUGACAGCAGAAGACUGGUAAGACCCAUGCAACACUGUUGGCUUAGAAGAUGGAGGAAGGAAGCCAUGAGCCAGGAAUGCCAGCAGCCUCUAGAAGCCGGAAAAGGCAAGAAAACUUCUCCUCCAGAACCUCCGGAAAUGAAUACUGCUGUGCUGACACCAUGGUUUAAGCCUGGUGUGAUCUGUGAAGGUUCCAAUCUACAAAAAUACUUGAACGGAUACAUUGGCUCGUCCUGAGUUUCGAGCCUGCUGACCUUUGGACUGCAACUACAGCAUCAGCUCUUCUGGGUCUCAAGCCUUUGGACUCAGACUGGAACUCAACCAUCAGCUCUCCUGGGUCUCCAGCUUGCCACUCACCCUGCGGAUCUUGGGAUUUGCCCCAGCCAUAAUUGUGGAACCAGUUACUUAAUAUAUAUAUAAAUGUAUAUACACACACAUACACACAUCCUAUUGGUUCUAUUUCUCUGGGGAACCUUAACUAAUACACAUGGCAUAUUUCUCUAAUUAUUUGAGUCAUCUUUUCCAAUUUUUAUCCAUGUAAGUCUUUCUUUCACAUCUUUUACUAGAUUUUUCUUGAGUAUUAUACAGGUUUUAUUGGUAUCACAAAUGGUACCUUUUUUAUAACUUCAUUAUAUAGUUUGAUGCUUGAGUAUAGAUGUUACACAAAUGAAUUUUGGAUAUUGUCUUGUUUCCAGCAAUAUACCUGAACUCUGCUACUCUACUAUUUCUAAUACUUCUAAUACACCUCCCAUCUUUUUGUCACCUUCCCACAAGUCAUUAGCUGGCCUUUAUCAGAAUAUUAAGUAUAUUUCUAUUUUUGGCUAUUAGUAUUAAAGACAGCUUUUGUUUCCUACUCCUUGGUCUUAACAUAAAAUUCAGAUUAACUGAGUGUUUCAUAGACAAAUUCCAGUUACCUAACCUUAUCUGAACAGUCAUUUUAGAGUGGGACUGGGGACUCUCCAUUUUUACCGAAUACGCACAGGUGAUUCUGCUGUAGGUGUUCUCUAAGAUCACACUUAGCGAAAUCCUGCUUUCACUCAUCUUUUGCUGUUCUCAACACUAUCUCCAAUGUUACCAGUUUCAAAACCUCUUCUUUUCUUCUUAAACUCCAAUAUCUACUAUUUACAGAUGAUCUUGCAUAUUACUUUACAGAGAACAAGGUAACUAAGGUAAAUUUCUUCAGUUUCCAUCUUUUGACAACCACUAAGAAUGUCUCUAUUGUUUUUCUUUCCUGAAUUUAUCUUUACAACCCUUCUAUUUAUAAUUAGGGGAAAGAGAACUGCCUAUCCAAGCCUGACAGUGUGCCCUGUGCCCUGAUGCCAUCUGCAAUUCCGUCACUCAGAACACAACUCCUUCUACAAUUCCCAUCUUUCUCCCGCUCUCUCUCCCUUCCUCCCUCCCUCCCUUUUUCUCUCUCCCUUUCUCCUUCUCUCUCCCUCUGCCCUAAUAAUUCCCUACCUUUCUUGUUGUCAGUGUCGUUAUUAUUAUUGAUAUGGAGAUUUAUCUCUCUUACAAACUGAUAAGCUUGUUGAGGACAGGGCCCACAUAUUAAUCUUUUUAUACCUACAAAGCGCCCAGUUCAAUCCUUCAACAAAUACUUGUUGAAUAAACAAUUAGUUGUUCCUUUCCCUAAAACAAAACAAAAUUGAAUUGGUUCCUUUGUCCUUAUGAAUGUUCCUCAACUGAGUGUUUUUCUGAAUCAUGCAGGUCACAAUCCCCAUCCUGGAUUAAGGAAUUAAAAUGGCAGCUGGACAGCUCUUCAGAAACCACCAACAUUUAGCGAAUGUAACGAACUUUUCUAUCCAUGAUGGCAAUUAAAUCUGUAAAAUAUAUAGAAAUAACUUUCUCAAAAAUAUGAUAUUUAUAUGUAAGAAACUACAUCUACUGAAACAUAAAAGAAACUUGGAAUAAUUGGAAAGACAUACAUAUCACUCUGGGAACUGAAGGAUGAAUAUCAUAAUAGUGUCACUGCUUCCAAAACUACUUUAUACUUUUUCAAGCCAUUAAAAACCCAAUCCAGAAAGUGACAACACUUUUCAUUACUUGGCCAAGGGGAGGGGACAGUUUCAGAAGCUUCCAUGUGGUGUUUGUCACUGUGCUAUCCCUUAUCCCACAGGUCAACAAAUCCGUGAGAAGGUUCUGCCAAUU